RNAcentral lists this ribosomal RNA (254 nucleotides) under uncultured archaeon. RNAcentral describes it as "partial 16S ribosomal RNA". It matches the Rfam family "Archaeal small subunit ribosomal RNA", at positions 474 to 727 of the family's 1478-position model. The record is from RNAcentral.
UACCGGCGGCUCGAGUGGUGGCCGAUAUUAUUGAGUCUAAAGGGUCCGUAGCCGGCUUCGCAAGUCCCCUGGGAAAUCCAGCGGCUCAACCGUUGGGCGCUCAUGGGAUACUACGAGGCUUGGGACUGGGAGAGGCGAGAGGUACUCGAGGGGUAGGGGUGAAAUCCUGUAAUCCUUCGGGGACCACCGGUGGCGAAGGCGUCUCGCCAGAACAGGUCCGACGGUGAGGGACGAAAGCUAGGGGCACGAACCGG